UAUCAAAGAAGGGAUUCGAACCCUCAUCGCUGUUAAUAAAAGCUUUACAUCCUAAGUGUAACGUGUUUACCAAUUUCACCACUUUGAU
This 88-nucleotide transfer RNA is filed under the name Plasmopara halstedii. RNAcentral's name for it is "tRNA-Leu". The record is from RNAcentral. Lineage: Eukaryota; Oomycota; Peronosporomycetes; Peronosporales; Peronosporaceae.